Molecule: ribosomal RNA, 253 nt
Filed under: uncultured bacterium
Lineage: Bacteria
Description: partial 16S ribosomal RNA
Rfam family: Bacterial small subunit ribosomal RNA
Source: RNAcentral
UACAGAGGGUGCAAGCGUUAAUCGGAAUUACUGGGCGUAAAGCGUGCGCAGACGGUCUCGUAAGUCGGGUGUGAAAUCCCCGGGCUCAACCUGGGAAUUGCAUUCGAAACUGCGAGGCUAGGGUACGGAAGAGGGAAGCGGAAUUUCUGGUGUAGCGGUGAAAUGCGUAGAUAUCAGAAGGAACAUCAGUGGCGAAAGCGGCUUCCUGGUCCAGUACCGACGUUCAGGCACGAAAGCGUGGGGAGCAAACAGG